Molecule: ribosomal RNA, 241 nt
Filed under: uncultured bacterium
Lineage: Bacteria
Description: partial 16S ribosomal RNA
Rfam family: Bacterial small subunit ribosomal RNA
Source: RNAcentral
GACUGCCUACGGCGGGCAGCAGUGGGGAAUAUUGCACAAUGGGGGAAACCCUGAUGCAGCAACGCCGCGUGAGUGAAGAAGGUUUUCGGAUUGUAAAGCUCUGUUAGCAGGGAAGAGGAAGGACGGUACCUGCAGAGGAAGCCACGGCUAACUACGCGCCAGCAGCCGCGGUAAUACGUAGGUGGCAAGCGUUGUUCGGAAUAACUGGGCGUAAAGGAUGCGUAGGCGGUUAAACAAGGUA